GAUGAACGCUGGCGGCGUGCCUAAUACAUGCAAGUCGAGCGAACGGACGAGAAGCUUGCUUCUCUGAUGUUAGCGGCGGACGGGUGAGUAACACGUGGAUAACCUACCUAUAAGACUGGGAUAACUUCGGGAAACCGGAGCUAAUACCGGAUAAUAUUUUGAACCGCAUGGUUCAAAAGUGAAAGACGGUCUUGCUGUCACUUAUAGAUGGAUCCGCGCUGCAUUAGCUAGUUGGUAAGGUAACGGCUUACCAAGGCAACGAUGCAUAGCCGACCUGAGAGGGUGAUCGGCCACACUGGAACCGAGACACGGUCCAGACUCCUACGGGAGGCGGCAGUAGGGAAUCUUCCGCAAUGGGCGAAAGCCUGACGGAGCAACGCCGCGUGAGUGAUGAAGGUCUUCGGAUCGUAAAACUCUGUUAUUAGGGAAGAACAUAUGUGUAAGUAACUGUGCACAUCUUGACGGUACCUAAUCAGAAAGCCACGGCUAACUACGUG
RNAcentral lists this ribosomal RNA (497 nucleotides) under uncultured bacterium. RNAcentral describes it as "partial 16S ribosomal RNA". It matches the Rfam family "Bacterial small subunit ribosomal RNA", at positions 28 to 507 of the family's 1533-position model. The record is from RNAcentral.